CGAUCUUCCCUUGUUUUACGGACGACCAUUUUAAGAAGCACGUUUUUCCCGAACGGACGGACAGAGAGUUACAUUAGAGACAAACAAGGUUACGGAAUAGUUAUUUAAGAUUUUAAAGACUGAAGAAGAAAGAUCGGUAGCUCAGGACGUUGAAAAUCGAUUCUCAAUUUUCAGACUACAGAAUCGAUCCCUGAAUUAUCACCAAAUUACGAUCUUACAAAUCGAUUUUCACUACGCCAUGCCGUUAGAAGUGAAGCUACGUAUCGCCAUUAACGAGAACGCAAGGGGGGGGGAAAUAGAAUGCAUAAGAAUCCAUAAGAAAACCAAAAGAUGAAGUAUGUGAUGUCUUUCCUCCAGAAUAUCAAGCAAGAGAUCAUCAUCCGCGGUUAUUCAGUUUAUCGAUAGUGAAGAAAGCCGCAAACAACUUAACCAAGGUAA
This 438-nucleotide unclassified non-coding RNA is filed under the name Bombus terrestris (buff-tailed bumblebee). Its description in RNAcentral is "misc RNA ENSBTSG00005028462.1". The record is from RNAcentral. Lineage: Eukaryota; Metazoa; Arthropoda; Insecta; Hymenoptera; Apidae.